GGGGGUGUCCUAGAUUCGACAGAGAAUCUUGAGGUUUAGUGUGCGUGUCUGGGUUGAUCUCUUGGCCCAGUAAAAAAGAGAUCACACUUAAUUGCAGACAACACUGUUGCACUAGCUGCCUAAUCUUAGCGUAGCUUGAGGUGCCAGUACCGAGAAACAGAAUCUGGCAAACAAGUUUUACAAUUUUCUUGUAAAAGAAAUUGACAGGAUCAUCCGGGAAUCACCUGUAAAAAGACCCGGUGUUUGUCGGAUAGAAUAAUCCGAAUAACCCGUCGUUCGGUGACUUAAGAACGACUACGCACGUAGUACGCUCUUCCAAAAGUUCUUUGGACGUGGGUGCAAUUCCCACCACCUCCACCA
RNAcentral lists this transfer-messenger RNA (360 nucleotides) under Halobacteriovoraceae bacterium. It matches the Rfam family "transfer-messenger RNA". Rfam says of the family: Bacterial tmRNA, also known as 10Sa RNA or SsrA, is named for its dual tRNA and mRNA-like properties. Its role is to liberate the mRNA from a stalled ribosome. The record is from RNAcentral. Lineage: Bacteria; Pseudomonadati; Bdellovibrionota; Bacteriovoracia; Bacteriovoracales; Halobacteriovoraceae.